This 168-nucleotide ribosomal RNA is filed under the name Engelhardia spicata. RNAcentral describes it as "5.8S ribosomal RNA". It matches the Rfam family "5.8S ribosomal RNA". Rfam says of the family: 5.8S ribosomal RNA (5.8S rRNA) is a component of the large subunit of the eukaryotic ribosome. It is transcribed by RNA polymerase I as part of the 45S precursor that also contains 18S and 28S rRNA. RNAcentral also lists the same sequence under 1 other name. Lineage: Eukaryota; Viridiplantae; Streptophyta; Magnoliopsida; Fagales; Juglandaceae. The record is from RNAcentral.
AUAUAUAACGACUCUCGGCAACGGAUAUCUCGGCUCUCGCAUCGAUGAAGAACGUAGCGAAAUGCGAUACUUGGUGUGAAUUGCAGAAUCCCGCGAAUCAUCGAGUCUUUGAACGCAAGUUGCGCCCGAAGCCAUCCGGCCGAGGGCACGUCUGCCUGGGUGUCACGC